GUGGCGGUCGAUUCCCACCGCGCGUCGGCGUCGAGGAGGGCGCUCUCGCCGAAGCUGCCGCCGUCGGCGAGCGUGGCGACGGCGGUCUCGUCGCCGUACUUGCCGACCGAGGUCUGGCGGAUCCGGCCGUGGGCGAUCAGGUGGAUCUGCUCCGCCGGCGUGCCCCGCUCGGCCAGCACCUCACCGGCGCGGAAGUCGCGCUGGACACAGCGGUCGGCGAUGGCGGCCAGCACCUCGGCGUCGUCGAAGCCGCGCAGCAGGGCCAGUUCGCCGAGCUCCGCGGGGAUCACCCGGACCGCCGCGCCGUCCUGGACGAACUCGAUGCGGCCGUCCCCGACGGCGUAGCUCAGGCGGCGGUUCACCCGGUACGUGCCGCCCUUGGUCUCCACCCACGGCAGCAUCCGCAGCAGCCACCUGGAGGUGAUCUCCUGCAUCUGCGGCGCGGACUUGGUCGUGGAGGCGAGGUUGCGGGCAGCCUCGGUGCCGAGGCUCAACUGCCGGG
Molecule: antisense RNA, 502 nt
Filed under: Streptomyces sp. NRRL S-1521
Lineage: Bacteria; Bacillati; Actinomycetota; Actinomycetes; Kitasatosporales; Streptomycetaceae
Description: Saccharopolyspora sRNA 350
Rfam family: Saccharopolyspora sRNA 350
Source: Rfam by way of RNAcentral